AGAGUUUGAUCCUGGCUCAGGAUGAACGCUGGCGGCGUGCCUAACACAUGCAAGUCGAACGGAGUUACGAUGAAACCUAGUGAUUCGUAACUUAGUGGCGGACGGGUGAGUAACGCGUGGAUAACCUGCCUUGCACUGGGGGAUAACACUUAGAAAUAGGUGCUAAUACCGCAUAAGCGCACGGAGCCGCAUGGCUCAGUGUGAAAAACUCCGGUGGUGUAAGAUGGAUCCGCGUCUGAUUAGCUGGUUGGCGGGGUAGAAGCCCACCAAGGCGACGAUCAGUAGCCGGCCUGAGAGGGUGAACGGCCACAUUGGGACUGAGACACGGCCCAAACUCCUACGGGAGGCAGCAGUGGGGAAUAUUGCACAAUGGGGGAAACCCUGAUGCAGCAACGCCGCGUGAGUGAAGAGGUCAUUCGUGAUGUAAAGCUCUAUCAGCAGGGAAGAAAAUGACGGUACCUGAGUAAGAAGCCCCGGCUAACUACGUG
Molecule: ribosomal RNA, 488 nt
Filed under: uncultured Lachnospiraceae bacterium
Lineage: Bacteria; Bacillati; Bacillota; Clostridia; Lachnospirales; Lachnospiraceae
Description: bacterial SSU rRNA
Rfam family: Bacterial small subunit ribosomal RNA
Source: RNAcentral